GACGAACCGAGCGAACGUUGUUCGGAAUCACUGGGCAUAAAGGGCGCGUAGGCGGGGAUGUAAGUCCGUGGUGAAAUACCUUGGCUCAACCAAGGAACUGCCUCGGAUACUGUGUCUCUCGAGGAAGAUAGGGGCUUGCGGAACGGCUGGUGGAGCGGUGAAAUGCGUUGAUAUCAGUCGGAACUCCGGUGGCGAAGGCGGCAAGCUGGAUCUUUUCUGACGCUGAGGCGCGAAAGCCAGGGGAGCAAACGGG
This 253-nucleotide ribosomal RNA is filed under the name uncultured bacterium. Its description in RNAcentral is "partial 16S ribosomal RNA". It matches the Rfam family "Bacterial small subunit ribosomal RNA", at positions 524 to 776 of the family's 1533-position model. The record is from RNAcentral.